RNAcentral lists this ribosomal RNA (763 nucleotides) under uncultured Streptococcus sp. RNAcentral's name for it is "bacterial SSU rRNA". It matches the Rfam family "Bacterial small subunit ribosomal RNA", at positions 28 to 776 of the family's 1533-position model. The record is from RNAcentral. Lineage: Bacteria; Bacillati; Bacillota; Bacilli; Lactobacillales; Streptococcaceae.
GACGAACGCUGGCGGCGUGCCUAAUACAUGCAAGUAGAACGCUGGAGGAGGAGCUUGCUUCUCUGGAUGAGUUGCGAACGGGUGAGUAACGCGUAGGUAACCUGCCUGGUAGCGGGGGAUAACUAUUGGAAACGAUAGCUAAUACCGCAUAAGAACAGUUGUUGCAUGACAGCUGUUUAAAAGGUGCAAUUGCAUCACUACCAGAUGGACCUGCGUUGUAUUAGCUAGUUGGUGGGGUAACGGCUCACCAAGGCAACGAUACAUAGCCGACCUGAGAGGGUGAUCGGCCACACUGGGACUGAGACACGGCCCAGACUCCUACGGGAGGCAGCAGUAGGGAAUCUUCGGCAAUGGACGGAAGUCUGACCGAGCAACGCCGCGUGAGUGAAGAAGGUUUUCGGAUCGUAAAGCUCUGUUGUAAGAGAAGAACGAGUGUGAGAGUGGAAAGUUCACACUGUGACGGUAUCUUACCAGAAAGGGACGGCUAACUACGUGCCAGCAGCCGCGGUAAUACGUAGGUCCCGAGCGUUGUCCGGAUUUAUUGGGCGUAAAGCGAGCGCAGGCGGUUAGAUAAGUCUGAAGUUAAAGGCUGUGGCUUAACCAUAGUACGCUUUGGAAACUGUUUAACUUGAGUGCAAGAGGGGAGAGUGGAAUUCCAUGUGUAGCGGUGAAAUGCGUAGAUAUAUGGAGGAACACCGGUGGCGAAAGCGGCUCUCUGGCUUGUAACUGACGCUGAGGCUCGAAAGCGUGGGGAGCAAACAGG